CUGUCGUCAGCUCGUGUUGUGAAAUGUUGGGUUAAGUCCCGCAACGAGCGCAACCCUUAUCCUUUGUUGCCAGCGGUUAGGCCGGGAACUCAAAGGAGACUGCCAGUGAUAAACUGGAGGAAGGUGGGGAUGACGUCAAGUCAUCAUGGCCCUUACGACCCGAGGCCACACGUGCUACAAUGGCAUAUACAAGAGCGACCUCGCGAGAGCAAGCGGACCUCAUAAAGUAUGUCGUAGUCCGGAUUGAGUCUGCAACUCGACUCCAUGAAGUCGGAAUCGCUAGUAAUCGUAGAUCAGAAUGCUACGGUGAAUACGUUCCCGGGCCUUACACACCGCCCGUCACACCAUGGGAGUGGGUUGCAAAAGAAGUGGUAGCAACCUUCGGAGGGCGCUUACCACUUUGUGAUUCAUGACUGGGGUGAAGUCGUAACAAGGUAACCGUAGGGGAACCUGCGGUUGGAUCACCUCCUUA
RNAcentral lists this ribosomal RNA (472 nucleotides) under Klebsiella pneumoniae. Its description in RNAcentral is "bacterial SSU rRNA". It matches the Rfam family "Bacterial small subunit ribosomal RNA", at positions 1049 to 1533 of the family's 1533-position model. The record is from RNAcentral. Lineage: Bacteria; Pseudomonadati; Pseudomonadota; Gammaproteobacteria; Enterobacterales; Enterobacteriaceae.